This 496-nucleotide ribosomal RNA is filed under the name uncultured bacterium. RNAcentral describes it as "bacterial SSU rRNA". It matches the Rfam family "Bacterial small subunit ribosomal RNA", at positions 28 to 523 of the family's 1533-position model. The record is from RNAcentral.
GAUGAACGCUAGCGGCAGGCCUAAUACAUGCAAGUCGAGGGGCAGCGCGGUAGCAAUACUGGCGGCGACCGGCGCACGGGUGCGUAACGCGUAUGGAACCUACCUUUUACUGGGGGAUAGCCCGGAGAAAUUCGGAUUAAUACCCCAUGGUAUGCUAGACUGGCAUCAGUUUAGUAUUAAAGAUUUAUCGGUAAGAGAUGGCCAUGCGUAUGAUUAGCUAGUUGGCGGGGUAAUGGCCCACCAAGGCGAUGAUCAUUAGGGGGUCUGAGAGGAUGAUCCCCCACACUGGUACUGAGAUACGGACCAGACUCCUACGGGAGCAGCAGUAGGGAAUAUUGGUCAAUGGGCGAGAGCCUGAACCAGCCAUGCCGCGUGCAGGAAGAAGGCCCUCUGGGUUGUAAACUGCUUUUGACAGGGGCCAAAAUACUCAUGCGUGAGGAAUUGAGAGUACCUGUAGAAUAAGCACCGGCUAACUCCGUGCCAGCAGCCGCGGUAA